AUUGAACGCUGGCGGCAGGCCUAACACAUGCAAGUCGAGCGGAUGAAGGGAGCUUGCUCCUGGAUUCAGCGGCGGACGGGUGAGUAAUGCCUAGGAAUCUGCCUGGUCGUGGGGGAUAACGUCCGUAAACGGGCGCUAAUACCGCAUACGUCCUGAGUGAGAAAGUGGGGGAUCUUCGGACCUCACGCUAUCAGAUGAGCCUAGGUCGGAUUAGCUAGUUGGUGGGGUAAAGGCCUACCAAGGCGACGAUCCGUAACUGGUCUGAGAGGAUGAUCAGUCACACUGGAACUGAGACACGGUCCAGACUCCUACGGGAGGCAGCAGUGGGGAAUAUUGGACAAUGGGCGAAAGCCUGAUCCAGCCAUGCCGCGUGAGUGAAGAAGGUCUUCGGAUUGUAAAGCACUUUAAGUUGGGAGGAAGGGAAGUAAGUUAAUACCUUGCUGUUUUGACGUUACCAACAGAAUAAGCACCGGCUAACUUCGUG
This 484-nucleotide ribosomal RNA is filed under the name uncultured bacterium. RNAcentral describes it as "partial 16S ribosomal RNA". It matches the Rfam family "Bacterial small subunit ribosomal RNA", at positions 30 to 507 of the family's 1533-position model. The record is from RNAcentral.